RNAcentral lists this ribosomal RNA (765 nucleotides) under uncultured Inocybe. RNAcentral describes it as "partial 28S ribosomal RNA". It matches the Rfam family "Eukaryotic large subunit ribosomal RNA", at positions 200 to 954 of the family's 3401-position model. Lineage: Eukaryota; Fungi; Basidiomycota; Agaricomycetes; Agaricales; Cortinariaceae. The record is from RNAcentral.
GCAUCAUAGAGGGUGAGAAUCCCGUCUUUGACAUGGACUACCUGUACAUUAUGGUGCGCUCUCGAAGAGUCGAGUUGUUUGGGAAUGCAGCUCAAAAUGGGUGGUAAAUGCCAUCUAAAGCUAAAUAUUGGCGAGAGACCGAUAGCGAACAAGUACCGUGAGGGAAAGAUGAAAAGAACUUUGGAAAGAGAGUUAAACAGUACGUGAAAUUGCUGAAAGGGAAACGCUUGAAGUCAGUCACGUUGGCUAGAAAUCAGCCUUGCUUUUGCCUGGUGUACUUUCUGGUCGACGGGUCAGCAUCAAUUUUGACCACUGGAUAAAGUCAUUGGGAAUGUGGCAUCUUAGGAUGUGUUAUAGCCCAUUGUCGCAUACGGUGGUUGGGAUUGAGGAACUCAGCACGCCGCAAGGCCGGGUUUCGACCACGUUCGUGCUUAGGAUGCUGGCAUAAUGGCUUUAAUCGACCCGUCUUGAAACACGGACCAAGGAGUCUAACAUGCCUGCGAGUGUUUGGGUGGAAAACCCGGACGCGUAAUGAAAGUGAAAGUUGAGAUCCCUGUCGUGGGGAGCAUCGACGCCCGGACCAGACCUUUUGUGACGGAUCCGCGGUAGAGCAUGUAUGUUGGGACCCGAAAGAUGGUGAACUAUGCCUGAAUAGGGUGAAGCCUGUGGAAACUCUGGUGGAGGCUCGUAGCGAUUCUGACGUGCAAAUCGAUCGUCAAAUUUGGGUAUAGGGGCGAAAGACUAAUCGAACCAUCUAGUAGCUGG